UGCGUAGGCGGUUUGGAAAGUCAGAUGUGAAAGCCUACAGCUCAACUGUAGAACUGCAUUUGAAACUUCCAGACUAGAAUACUGAAGGGGCAGAUGGAAUUAGUGGUGUAGGGGUAAAAUCCGUAGAUAUCACUAGGAAUACCUAAAGCGAAAGCGAUCUGCUGGGAAGUUAUUGACGCUGAGGCACGAAAGCGUGGGGAGCAAACAGGAUUAGAUACCCUGGUAGUCC
RNAcentral lists this ribosomal RNA (229 nucleotides) under uncultured bacterium. Its description in RNAcentral is "partial 16S ribosomal RNA". It matches the Rfam family "Bacterial small subunit ribosomal RNA", at positions 568 to 796 of the family's 1533-position model. The record is from RNAcentral.